RNAcentral lists this ribosomal RNA (379 nucleotides) under Candidatus Mycoplasma turicense. Its description in RNAcentral is "bacterial SSU rRNA". It matches the Rfam family "Bacterial small subunit ribosomal RNA", at positions 462 to 844 of the family's 1533-position model. The record is from RNAcentral. Lineage: Bacteria; Bacillati; Mycoplasmatota; Mollicutes; Mycoplasmatales; Mycoplasmataceae.
GAAAAAUUUGAUGGUACCCUCUGAAUAAGUGACAGCAAACUAUGUGCCAGCAGCUGCGGUAAUACAUAGGUCGCGAGCGCUAUUCGGAUUUAUUGGGCGUAAAGCAAGCGCAGGCGGAUGAAUAAGUUCUGCAUUAAAAGCAGCUGCUUAACAGUUGUUUGUGCCGAAUACUAUUCAUCUAGAAUGUGGUAGGAAGUUUUGGAAUUAAAUAUGGAGCGGUGGAAUGUGUAGAUAUAUUUAAGAACACCAGAGGCGAAGGCGAAAACUUAGGCCAUUAUUGACGCUUAGGCUUGAAAGUGUGGGUAGCAAAUGGGAUUAGAUACCCCAGUAGUCCACACCGUAAACGAUGGGUAUUAGAUGUCGGGAUUUGUGUUUCGGC